Molecule: long non-coding RNA, 560 nt
Filed under: Ananas comosus (pineapple)
Lineage: Eukaryota; Viridiplantae; Streptophyta; Magnoliopsida; Poales; Bromeliaceae
Description: long non-coding RNA (ACOM_LNC017318)
Source: RNAcentral
GGAGAGAGAGCGCUAGGCUUCUAUAAUAUCUAUAGUAACGGAGCUCUGUAACUAUAGUCUCAUUUUCAAUCCUAGAAUGUUCAAAUCAACGAUCCAUAUUGUUGAAAUUGAUCUAAGAUAUUUAAAGUUUUUAAGAAUAAAAUUGUAUUUUUUUUAACAUAUCUUACUUUAUGAUCAAAUCAAUUCAAAAUUGUCAAUUUUUAAUGACUAGUAUGGUAAAUUUUGUAGUUUAAUGGUUUUGAAGAAUCUAAAUUUAUUCAAAUUUUGAUUCAAAAUACUUUAAACUAUCUAGGUCAAGACCAACAUUCUUGAUUUUGAAUUCAAAAGUUCUAUCCUUAAAUUACAAAGAUUGUUUAAUUUUUAUCGUUUAUUUUGACAUGAUUUAUUUACUAAGUAAAUGAUGUCUAAAAAAUUAAAUUUUUAUUUCUAAAAAUUUUAUAUACCCUAAAUCAUAUUUUACGGUGCUGAUAAUUGAUUUCAACACUCUAAGAUCGAAACGAGACUAUAGUACUAGAGCUCCAGUACUAUAGAUGGUAUAAUAGUCUCAUUCUAUAUAUAUA